Long non-coding RNA from Medicago truncatula (barrel medic), 1986 nucleotides. RefSeq lists it as uncharacterized. The record is from RefSeq and is a predicted model, not a curated record. The transcript has 2 exons. NCBI's taxonomy places the organism in Eukaryota, Viridiplantae, Streptophyta, Magnoliopsida, Fabales, Fabaceae.
CUAGUAGAUAAGAUUUUGGAAUGAAAAUGAACUCCUUUACAUCAAGUUUGAUUUAACUGUUCAUAAAGAAAAAAUGAACUAACUCCUAUAAUGCAUGAGUGUCAAGUGUUAACCAAACCACCUUGAAAAUUUUUCUUGCUAGUUUCUUAUAUUAUCUGGAUCUUAGAAGUUGAAAUUCUCUCAAGUAUAAUUGCUUCUUUAAAUUUCUUCUACACACUUUUGAUAUGACUGUUUACUUUGAGAAGUUAGAGAUUUUGAAUCCUUGAAAAGAUGAUUUUUUAUUAAAGUAGAGGAGCUUCAUUUCAAAUGUUGGAUAAAAGACAAAAGAAAUAACACAAGAAUAGCAGAACGACGCGGAGACCUCCAUGGAGUGUCAAUUUGUACUAAUGCACCUACCAUUUCUCACCUCUUGUUUGCAUAUGAUUGCUUUUUGUUUUUCAGGGUUGAUGACAGUGAAGCGCAAGUGAUGAAGAACAUUCUCCAUACUUAUGAACUAGCUUCAGGGCAGGCCAUUAGUCUUCCAAAGUCCGAGGUUUUUUUCAGCAAAGUUGUUCCAUCACCUUUGAAGGAAACUAUUGCUAAUAUUUUAGGGGUUAGAGCGUGAUGGGUACAGGUCAAUAUCUCGGCAUGCCAUCUAUGGUGGGCAGAAGUAAAGAGGCAACAUUUGGCUUUAUAAAGGAUCGUAUUUGGCACAAAAUUAAUAGUUUGAGCAGCAAAUGUUUGUCCAAGGCUGGUCGUGAGGUGAAAUGAUGUGAUUUUAUUGAUCAAGAUUUAAAAAUGUGGAAGGGGCCUCUCAUUCGUAGUUUAUUUGAUACGCAAACUGCGCAACUCAUACUCAACACACCGUUGCAACCACUUGUAUUGGAGAACAAAAUGAUAUGGAAAGGGGAAAGGAGUGGUAAGUAUUCUGUGAAGAGUGCUUACAGAAUUUGUGUUACAGAAAUUGCAGAUAACUCUCAUAUGCAUGUUAAUGGUCGUUGGAACCUUAUUUGGAAGUUAAAAGUGCCUCCUAAAAUUAAGAAUUUUCUUUGGCGUGUGUGUCGUGGUUGUUUUCCAACACGUGCUCGCUUACAUAGUAUAGGAGUCUCUUGUCCACUUGACUGUGUUCACUGUAAUCAUAAUUAUGAAGAUAGCAUCCAUAUCCUUUAUUAAGUGUCCUAAAGCUGUGCAAGUAUGGCAGAAUGCGAAUUUAUGGGACAUAAUUGACAGGGUAAUUCAUCAAGAUUAUAAUAUCAGUGCUCUCAUUUUCACGGUUCUACAGAAUUUACCUACAGGGCAAUGUGAGCUGAUGGCAUCAAUCAUGUGGAGUCUAUAAAUAUGUAGAAACUUGAAACUUUGGAAGCAACAACUUGAGAUCGACCGCAGGUGUUCCAACGUGCAACCCAUGUAUUUGAAGAAUGGCGAACAACCCAAAGAAUUAGAUCAAGCAGCAACACUCAAUCUACAACUCCACAAGUUCAGCCAUCCAGACAAGAGGAAGAUGUUUGGAAGAAACCAGCACCUGGCAGAUACAAAUGCAAUAUUGAUGCAUCCUUUUCAACUUCUUUUAACAUAGUUGGCUUGGGCAUGUGUCUUAGGGAUGAGGAUGAUGCUUUUGUGCUUGCAAGAACAGAAUGGUUUGCCCCUCUUUGUGAUAUAGAUGUGGGGGAGGCUGUUGGUCUACACACAUCUUUGGAUUGGCUUUCUAAUCAAAGGUUUGAUAAUGUAGAUUUUGUUCUUGAUUGUAAAAGGGUUGUUGAUUGCAUCAACUCUAGUUUAGAUGAUAGUAGCGAGUUUGGAUGUAUUAUCACUGCUUGUAAACAGCUGCUAGUAGAUAGAUUUCAUAACUCUCAUGUUGAGUUCAGCAGGAGGCAAGCAAAUAGGGUAGCUCACGAGUUAGCUCAGGCAACCCUGUCUAAUCCUAGCCGCCACGUUAUUGAUGAUGUACCUACAUGUAUUUGACAUAUUUUAGCUAAUGAAAUGCAAUGAUUUCCUUCCUUCAAAAAA